Molecule: transfer RNA, 75 nt
Filed under: Planctomycetota bacterium
Lineage: Bacteria; Pseudomonadati; Planctomycetota
Also listed under: 1 other name
Description: Planctomycetes bacterium tRNA-Pro
Rfam family: tRNA
About the family: Transfer RNA (tRNA) molecules are approximately 80 nucleotides in length. Their secondary structure includes four short double-helical elements and three loops (D, anti-codon, and T loops).
Source: RNAcentral
CGGGGUGUAGCGCAGUCUGGCUAGCGCACCUGCUUUGGGAGCAGGGGGUCGUAGGUUCAAAUCCUAUCACCCCGA